Molecule: long non-coding RNA, 2463 nt
Organism: Gallus gallus (chicken)
Lineage: Eukaryota; Metazoa; Chordata; Aves; Galliformes; Phasianidae
Source: Ensembl
UGCGCCGCGGCCGCCCCGGAGCUCGGCGCCGAAGCCGCCGUCCCGCGGGCCGCGAACGGUGUUUGUAAUUUCUACGUUUUUACACGUUCGUUUAUUUGUUUUUAUUUUUCGCGCUCCGUGCUCCGCGCCGCGGGACGCGAAGGGCGAGGGGGGAAACGCAGCCGUCGCCUCGCCGUUUACUCGAGAGAAAUCGGGGCGAGCAGCGAGAGGAGCUCCCGAGCCCGGCCCCGCCGUGCCGCCCCGCCGCCGCCCGCAGGAAAAGCGGCCUUCUGGUUUGAGCGCGCGUGUGAUGGCGCUGCCUUCGAAAUACAGACGCUCCGGCUGAAAUCCGCAUCGACGCUUCUCGCUGCAGCCUCGGGGCGUCCGCGCUGUAAGGCUCCGGCCGUUCGUGCCGGCGCACCGAGACGCCGACUCCGGACUGCGUCACGGAGCAGCUUCAGCCGCACCGCCGCGCGCGUAGCCCGACCCCGGAUCCCGGUGCCCGCACCCGAGCGCGUUGCAGAGGGCCGCCCGGCGCUGGGUUUGAGAGCGGCCCGAGAAGGAGACGCCCUUAGGACGGAUCGUAGAUCGUAGACCGGGGAGGUUCCGGCGGGCACAGCGCGGCUCGGCUGGGAGCGGCACGGGGUGACGGCCGAGAGCCCCGGGCGCCCCGACGGCGCGGGCGGCCCUCGGCGUCACCGCGGCCCCUUCGGGGCUGAUCCCGUGGCCCCGGGUGGGCAGCGAGAGAACGAACCAACGUGUCCUUGGGCCAGAGGGGACGUGACACCGGCCGCCUGUUCUCCUGCCUCUCACGGCCCCGCAUCUUCCCAGCUCCCAGCGCAUUGAGCCCUAUCGUUUUGAUCCCUGGCAAUAAACUCAGGGCCUUCAGCAAUUAACUCACGCUCUUCAUCAAACUGACACUCCGUAUAGGGAAGGUUGUUAUUUCCUAGGUAAGCAGGACUUUAAGCUUAAAGGAGCCUAAAAGAGCAGUUUGAGAAAAAUGCGUCCUGCGGGCAGGGCCCUCAUCUCGGGGAUUUCAGGAGCGGCAGUUUGGCCCCUGCCCGGGUACGUCGUUCUGGCAGCCAACAGCCGUUAGGAGCCGAUCCCCCGCUCCAUGACACACUGCGUCGCUCGGUACUGCCCGGCGUGCAUUUGUGAGCCCCCGGGCCGUGCUGCCCGACCCCCGGCACUGGGAACGCUUCCCAGCCGAGCCGCGGGCGGCGGGAAGGUUCCCGUCCGUUGGGUGCUGCUCCCGGGGCCUGGCACAGCCGGGGGGCGGCUGCCGGAUUGCUGCCGGCUCCGCACGCCGGUGGGAGGGGGUUGCACCGCGUCCGUUGGUCGCUCUUGGCUGGGUUUUAUUUAUUUACUUUUUUUGCUCAACGGUUGCCGCUCUCUGUGUGAGGUCGACGCAGCCCGUGGCACCCCGCAGCAGGACGGGGGCUCCCCUUCCUCGGGGACGGCACCCGGCCGCUGUCUCGGCCCCAGGCGAGGGCUUCCGCGGCCUCCGCGGGGCCGGAGAUGGACGCGUACCGCCCGCGGAACCCGACCUGGGCGCGGCCAGGAACCCCCCCGGCUCGACCCCGCCGCCUUCGCCCCGCCGCCGGGCCUCGGCUCACCCCGAGCGGCUCCGGUCUCCUCCGAGCCCCCUCCCGGGCGCUGCGGGCGGGUUUGUCGCUGUCCCCACGUCACGCCCCGCCCGGGCUCUCGCGUGUCAUUACCCAAAUCCCAGCGAAGCGCCCGGCAGGAGCCGUCAGGCGCAGGCAGCCAGACAGUUUUCUUGUACUUUAUUAAAGUGUAAUCAAACAUCGGUUAAGUGGAAAAUAAAUAUCCAGAUCUAAUAAGCUGCUCAGUCAGAUCGUGUAAAUGCAAAUUACAAGCUGGUUCCCAUCUCCCCGCCAGGGGACCGAACAAGCCACAGCAAUUGCUUCAUCCACCGCGAUUGUAAAUCAACUAAAAUAAUGGCUGGAUAAUGACCGGUUUGCGGUUUCAAGCAGAUUGAAUGAUAACAAACCGCGUGUGCCGCACCGGCUUUGCAUUUAGCACUCAUCACGGCGCAGCCCGCACAGCCCGGCCGCCUCAUUAGGCUGUUGUCUGCGCUCCGGCGGCAGCCGGCACAGCGCUGCCAGAGCUCCUGCGAGGGAAGGGCGAGACAAUUCAAUCGGCCCUCCCCGCGAGGGGGGGACGCGCGGGGCCGUCGCGGUGAAUCGACGGCGGGGUGACGCUGCCCUAACGGGGCGAUAGGGAAACACGCGUGGGGAUGGGGGGACGGAGCGAUAGCCGCACGCAGCGCCCGGCCCCGCGGCGGGCUCCCUUCUGCUUUUUGGUGAUUUUUUUCCUUCUAUUUUUUUUUUCCUGCUGUUGAUUUAGCUGCUAAUUGGUGACAGAAAUUGUCAGCUAAGUGGCAGGUAGCGGCUCCGGUAGCUUCCACCCAGAAGGUGCGAAAAUCCUUUCAAAGCCGAACCGCUGCCUUAAAAAGGGAGAGGG